Molecule: long non-coding RNA, 219 nt
Filed under: Elaeis guineensis (African oil palm)
Lineage: Eukaryota; Viridiplantae; Streptophyta; Magnoliopsida; Arecales; Arecaceae
Description: long non-coding RNA (EGUI_LNC042554)
Source: RNAcentral
UCUGCUCCUAACAGAAUUGUAGAGGUGUAGAGGAGUUGUUGAGGGGCUUUUCCUUUCAUCAGAUCUCAAAUGACCAGAUCUUCAUUUGUGUCCGGAUGAGGUUCUCCUCCUGUUUUCGACACAAUCAAUUUCAGCUCAUGUUAGGACGAGGUCUUCCUCCUACUCCUAACAGGGCUGCGGGGGCACAUAAGGGCUGUUGCAAAGGCCUCUCCUCCCAUC